This 497-nucleotide ribosomal RNA is filed under the name uncultured bacterium. Its description in RNAcentral is "partial 16S ribosomal RNA". It matches the Rfam family "Bacterial small subunit ribosomal RNA", at positions 28 to 507 of the family's 1533-position model. The record is from RNAcentral.
GAUGAACGCUGGCGGCGUGCCUAAUACAUGCAAGUCGAGCGAACAGACGAGGAGCUUGCUCCUUUGACGUUAGCGGCAGACGGGUGAGUAACACGUGGGUAACCUACCUAUAAGACUGGGAUAACUUCGGGAAACCGGAGCUAAUACCGGAUAAUAUUUCGAACCGCAUGGUUCGAUAGUGAAAGAUGGCUUUGCUAUCACUUAUAGAUGGACCUGCGCCGUAUUAGCUAGUUGGUAAGGUAACGGCUUACCAAGGCAACGAUACGUAGCCGACCUGAGAGGGUGAUCGGCCACACUGGAACUGAGACACGGUCCAGACUCCUACGGGAGGCAGCAGUAGGGAAUCUUCCGCAAAGGGCGAAAGCCUGACGGAGCAACGCCGCGUGAGUGAUGAAGGUCUUCGGAUCGUAAAACUCUGUUAUUAGGGAAGAACAAACGUGUAAGUAACUGUGCACGUCUUGACGGUACCUAAUCAGAAAGCCACGGCUAACUACGUG